AUGGGCCAGCAGGCGCGGAGGAACUCGGUGGUAAAGCCGUCCGGCCCCGGGGCCUUGCGCGCCGGUAGCCGCUUGAUGGCAUUCCAAGAUUUCAUCGUCGGUGAAGGGCGCGUCAAGCUCGAGGAGGUCGUCAGUGGGCUCGAUGAGCUGCGCGAGGUUGAGCGUGCACUCGCGAUGGGUAGCGGUGCCCAGGAGGUCGUCGAAGUGCGCGAAAGUGGCUGCGGUCAUGUCGUCGUGGCCGGUAAGGGCCUGUCCAUCAACGACCAGGCUAUGGAUCAUGUUCUUCUGGCGGCGGUAAGAGCACUGGCGGUGGAAGAAGGAAGUGUUUGCAUCCCCGUCCUGGAGGGAGGCGAUGCGCGCUCGUUGACGUGCGAUGGUGCGCUCAAGCGAUGCCAGUCCCAUGUAGGAGGUUUUGAUUUGAUGGCGAAGCCAAUCCUCAUGCCCGGAGAGAUGCUGACUCUCAUGCGCGGUGUCGAAGCAGAGCAGCAGCUCGCGGGAAAGGGCCAUCUUGUGGCGCACGUUGCCAACAGUGCGAGCAUUCCAGCCAGUCAGCUUACGUGCAGUGGCUUGCAGGCGUAG
This 579-nucleotide ribosomal RNA is filed under the name Triticum aestivum (bread wheat). Its description in RNAcentral is "partial small subunit ribosomal RNA". Lineage: Eukaryota; Viridiplantae; Streptophyta; Magnoliopsida; Poales; Poaceae. The record is from RNAcentral.